UACGAAGGGGGCUAGCGUUGCUCGGAAUUACUGGGCGUAAAGGGAGCGUAGGCGGAUAGUUCAGUCAGAGGUGAAAGCCCGGGGCUCAACCUCGGAACUGCAUCCGAUACUGCCAUGCUAGAGAACUGAAGAGGAGUGUAGAAUUCUCGGUGUAGCAGUGAAAUGCGUAGAUAUCGAGAGGAAUACCAACGGCGAAGGCAGCACUCUGGGCAGUUUCUGACACUGAGGCACGAAGGCUAGGGGAGCAAACGGGAUUAGAAACCCUUGUAGU
Molecule: ribosomal RNA, 271 nt
Filed under: uncultured bacterium
Lineage: Bacteria
Description: partial 16S ribosomal RNA
Rfam family: Bacterial small subunit ribosomal RNA
Source: RNAcentral